This is a long non-coding RNA of Herpailurus yagouaroundi (jaguarundi), 895 nucleotides long. RefSeq lists it as uncharacterized. The record is from RefSeq and is a predicted model, not a curated record. Lineage: Eukaryota; Metazoa; Chordata; Mammalia; Carnivora; Felidae. The transcript is spliced from 3 exons.
AGAAAUGCAAAUUCUUGCCCCUUCCACCUUCCCAGAAACUCUAGGGGUGGGCCCACUUGUCUGUGUUUUAGAAAGGUAUGGUAGCCAGCCUCCAGCAUGGCCCCCAAUGAUCCCUACCUGGUAUCCCCAUCUUUGGGUAGUUCCAUCCCACAACAAUGGGACUGACUUGUGUAACAAAUAGAAUGUAGCCAAGGGGAUAGAUAGUUUAUGACACCAUAAAAAGUACUGAGACCUCCUUCUUGUCUCUUCCUUGGAUUGCCUGCUAUAGGGAAGCUGGCUGCCAUGUUGUAAGAGCAUUCAAGUAGACCUAUAGAGAGGUGUGGUAAGGAACUGAGGCCUCCAGUCAACAGCCAUCUUGUGAGUGAACCAUCUAGAAAACAGAUCAGCCAAGCCAAGUCCAGACAGCUCAAUGCAAUCUCAAGAAAGAUACCAAGGUGGAGCCCUGUGCUAAUGAGGACAGCAGGGCGUCAGAAUACUGCUCUCCUCUGAUAGAAAGCACCCUGCUGAUCGCUGUACCUGGGCAGAGCCCAGCGCUGUGCACACAGAAACAUCCUGAUCUCACCGACCAGCUCUGCAAUGGGUUCUUUUUGUCCAGUAAUGAACAUGAGAGACCCCACUAACAGACUCACUUAGCUAUUUCUGCAGAAGCCUCGACUCAAGGUCAACUGAUAUGGUUCCAGCCUAGGAACAAGCAAGGCCUGGCAUUCCUUACUCGAGAUUAGAAGCCCAAGACCCCCUCCAGUUUAUACUGGCUCUCAGAGCAAGCCCAUAACCCCUCUCCUCAUCUGAAGAUAACCUCCUGACAUCAGGGGCUGAAUUCUGCCUCCUUCCAGAGUUAAGUCUCCACCUCAAGGGAACAUGGGGUAUAUGUUACAAUAAAUGUUUGCUCAAUGAA